GAUGAACUCUGGCGGCGUGCUUAACACAUGCAAGUCGAACGGGAAAUAUUUCAUUGAGACUUCGGUGGAUUUGAUCUAUUUCUAGUGGCGGACGGGUGAGUAACGCGUGGGUAACCUGCCUUAUACAGGGGGAUAACAGUCAGAAAUGGCUGCUAAUACCGCAUAAGCGCACAGAGCUGCAUGGCUCAGUGUGAAAAACUCCGGUGGUAUAAGAUGGACCCGCGUUGGAUUAGCUUGUUGGUGGGGUAACGGCCCACCAAGGCGACGAUCCAUAGCCGGCCUGAGAGGGUGAACGGCCACAUUGGGACUGAGACACGGCCUAGACUCCUACGGGAGGCAGCAGUGGGGAAUAUUGCACAAUGGGGGAAACCCUGAUGCAGCGACGCCGCGUGAAGGAAGAAGUAUCUCGGUAUGUAAACUUCUAUCAGCAGGGAAGAUAGUGACAGUACCUGACUAAGAAGCCCCGGCUAACUACGUGCCAGCAGCCGCGGUAAUACGUAGGGGGCAAGCGUUAUCCGGAUUCACUGGGUGUAAAGGGAGCGUAGACGGUGUGGCAAGUCUGAUGUGAAAGGCAUGGGCUCAACCUGUGGACUGCAUUGGAAACUGUCAUACUUGAGUGCCGGAGGGGUAAGCGGAAUUCCUAGUGUAGCGGUGAAAUGCGUAGAUAUUAGGAGGAACACCAGUGGCGAAGGCGGCUUACUGGACGGUAACUGACGUCGAGGCUCGAAAGCGUGGGGAGCAAACAGGAUUAGAUACCCUGGUAGUCCACGCCGUAAACGA
Molecule: ribosomal RNA, 780 nt
Filed under: uncultured bacterium
Lineage: Bacteria
Description: bacterial SSU rRNA
Rfam family: Bacterial small subunit ribosomal RNA
Source: RNAcentral